CCUACGGGGAGCAGCAGUGGGGAAUAUUGGGCAAUGGGCGCAAGCCUGACCCAGCAACGCCGCGUGAAGGAAGAAGGCUCUCGGGUUUUAAACUUCCUUUUAGAGGGAAGAGCAGAAGACGGUACCUCUUGAAUAAGCCACGGCUAACUACGUGCCAGCAGCCGCGGUAAUACGUAGGUGGCAAGCGUUGUCCGGAUUUACUGGGUGUAAAGGGCGUGUAGCCGGGCUGACAAGUCAGAUGUGAAAUCUGGGGGCUCAACCCCCGAAUUGCAUUUGAAACUGUUGGUCUUGAGUAUCGGAGAGGCAGGCGGAAGUCCUGGUGUAGCGGUGAAAUGCGUAGAUAUUAGGAGGAACACCAGUGGCGAAGGCAGCCUGCUGGACGACAACUGACGGUGAGGCGCGAAAGCGUGGGGAGCAAACAGGAUUAGAUACCCGUGUAGUC
Molecule: ribosomal RNA, 442 nt
Filed under: uncultured bacterium
Lineage: Bacteria
Description: partial 16S ribosomal RNA
Rfam family: Bacterial small subunit ribosomal RNA
Source: RNAcentral